CGCACGGGUGAGUAACACGUAUGCAACCUGCCUGCCACAGCCGGAUAAUCGGGAGAAAUUCCGUCUAAUACGGCAUAAUGCAUCGACGGGACAUCCUGUUGGUGCCAAAGGUUAAUUCCGGUGGCGGAUGGGCAUGCGUCGCAUUAGUUAGUUGGCGGUGUAACGGACCACUAAGACGACGAUGCGUAGGGGUUCUGAGAGGAAGGUCCCCCACACUGGUACUGAGACACGGACCAGACUCCUACGGGAGGCAGCAG
This 257-nucleotide ribosomal RNA is filed under the name uncultured bacterium. RNAcentral's name for it is "partial 16S ribosomal RNA". It matches the Rfam family "Bacterial small subunit ribosomal RNA", at positions 99 to 354 of the family's 1533-position model. The record is from RNAcentral.